CAGGUUGGAGUGAGAACCCUCCCCGCUGGCCACACCGGCUCCUGCUCACCAUACAACUGGUACAAGAAUCGGCAUUUAUUUUAUUUAAUCUAAGUAUUUUUUAAUACGCUACUGUGGCCAGUUACAGGCUGAGCACCCGCCACCCCCCCUCCCCCACCACCACCACCUCCCUCUCCCUUAAAUAGCAGUACCAAUAGCCCAUGUCUCUCCAAAGGAAAUACAGCCGGACUACAGCUCCCAGAAACCACUGGGCAAACCAGGAAGUAGACGUCCUUGCUACAAGCUGGCCAAACAAUUAAACAUUCCAAAACAAGGGAAAAAUCAACCUGAACAGACAAUGACAGUUCUACAAGUAUACCAAACAAACCCAAGACUUAUCAUUAUCUUCACCAAGUAGACCCAACAGCACAGCAGACAGACAGCAGAUGCCAAAGCCAGCAGAAAAAGAUUGCUCUUUGACGACACCUCAUUACAGCAAGGGCAGCUGUGGGUCAGACGGGGAAAAAAAGCCACCAGCUCGAGGGGAUCCAUCUCUGACACAUAUGGACGUCCCUUCAAGCUCUGAAGCCCUUUGUCAGAGGACCCAGCAUGAAGGGGGGAAGGGGGGUUGAGUGAGUGUCUGAGUAGUUGCUUGUCAGCUGCUAUGAUGAGCUCGCCCAGUGCCUUUAGUGUUACUCACAAUCUAUAACCACUUUAAAUCUGACAUGGCUGGUUCCGUAAUUGUCACAUGAGUAACAGGAAAAUAAAAUCUCUCAUGUCAAGAACUAAAUAAAAAGAUUAGUAUGAGGUUUUGCUAAUUUGCAGCCCAAAUAAACACUGUUUUUUCGAUUUUUAAAUUGCGCCAUCAGGAAUGGCGCUAUCUAGUGGCUAGACUUUGUAAUGGGGUAUUUUUUUCCCCCGUUUGGCAACAUCUUUGCAUAAUAAAACGUUUUUUACACCGAGGUUAUAGAUCCAAAGAGAAUCACAUCUCUAACCUCAUCAUCGUAUCUGUGGUUCUUUUUCAUGUCUAUAUCAAAUUUCAAGAUGAAAAUAAGCCAACACCCCUCAGAAUUUCUGCCCCUUUUUCUAAAUAAUUACUGACUCUCGGAAGUCUCGGAAGAGCAGCUAUGGUGACCAUGCUCCUGUUGAAGUUUUAAAAGAAGAGAAAGAAACCUUUGACCGUGAUAAGCUCCUCUUCCUCUUAGGGAUCUUCAUUUGUUUCAAACAUUUUAGACUGAAUUAUUAUAACUGAAGGAUAAGAGAAGGUCAUGACAAUGACGGUAACACUCCUGGUAGAGGGGAGGCAGAUAAUGUCUGAAAUAAACCAAAAAAUGGUAUCUAUCUUUAUAUGGUUUUAAUUUUUUGGAAUUGGUUUCAUUGAAAUUGUAACGGCUCUUUUUGUGGG
Long non-coding RNA from Takifugu rubripes (torafugu), 1384 nucleotides. The record is from Ensembl. Lineage: Eukaryota; Metazoa; Chordata; Actinopteri; Tetraodontiformes; Tetraodontidae.